GUGCCAGCCGCCGCGGUAAUACGUAGGGUCCGAGCGUUGUCCGGAAUUAUUGGGCGUAAAGGGCUCGUAGGCGGUUUGUCGCGUCGGGAGUGAAAACUCAGGGCUCAACCCUGAGCGUGCUUCCGAUACGGGCAAACUAGAGGUAUGCAGGGGAGAAUGGAAUUCCUGGUGUAGCGGUGGAAUGCGCAGAUAUCAGGAGGAACACCGGUGGCGAAGGCGGUUCUCUGGGCAUUACCUGACGCUGAGGAGCGAAAGCAUGGGGAGCGAACAGGAUUAGAAACC
RNAcentral lists this ribosomal RNA (282 nucleotides) under uncultured prokaryote. RNAcentral's name for it is "partial 16S ribosomal RNA". It matches the Rfam family "Bacterial small subunit ribosomal RNA", at positions 505 to 786 of the family's 1533-position model. The record is from RNAcentral.